RNAcentral lists this transfer RNA (87 nucleotides) under Cordylochernes scorpioides. RNAcentral's name for it is "tRNA-Tyr". Lineage: Eukaryota; Metazoa; Arthropoda; Arachnida; Pseudoscorpiones; Chernetidae. The record is from RNAcentral.
UCCCUCGAGCCGGAUUUGAACCAGCGACCUAAGGAUCACCGUUGUAACAUCUACAGUCCUCCGCUCUGGCAACUGAGCUAUCGAGGG